AGAACGAACGCUGGCGGCAUGCCUAAUACAUGCAAGUCGAACGAACACUUCGGUGUUAGUGGCGCACGGGUGCGUAACGCGUGGGAAUCUGCCCUUGGGUUCGGAAUAACAGUUGGAAACGACUGCUAAUACCGGAUGAUAUCGAAAGAUCAAAGAUUUAUCGCCCAGGGAUGAGCCCGCGUAGGAUUAGCUAGUUGGUGAGGUAAAGGCUCACCAAGGCGACGAUCCUUAGCUGGUCUGAGAGGAUGAUCAGCCACACUGGGACUGAGACACGGCCCAGACUCCUACGGGAGGCAGCAGUAGGGAAUAUGGACAAGUGGGCG
This 323-nucleotide ribosomal RNA is filed under the name uncultured soil bacterium. RNAcentral describes it as "bacterial SSU rRNA". It matches the Rfam family "Bacterial small subunit ribosomal RNA", at positions 26 to 377 of the family's 1533-position model. The record is from RNAcentral.